UUUCCUUUCAUGUUGUAGGUAAGUGUAUACUUAUACAUAGCGAACGGUAAAGUAGAAAAAUCACCAUUUUCAACAUGGUAAAUUGUCACCCAAACCAAAAAAUGAGAUAAAAAUAAUUAAUACGACAUUACUAUUGUCAAAAUGAAACCGAGCAACGACUGGAAAAUCAACAAGUGACACUUAUAACAUUCUCAAUAAUUGCAAGCACCAAAACUGGUCGCGCGCAGUACAGCGAUCGAAAUUCAAGUUCGAAACAAAAAGUGGACCAGUAUGUUCUUUCUUGCUCGUGCGCAUCGUCGGCGCGCGAGUGCGAGCAGGAGGGGUGUAGUCUGCUCUCGCGCCCACAUUUGGAGCCUUGGAGGUCGGUACGUUGAACUCUAGAUGAGACGGCGGCGGCGCCGAGAGACAUAUAUCUAUCCCUUUCUCCCGAACACGACUCUACUUGUCUUUACACCAGCAGUCUCGGCAAGCGGAUGACAUUUUUUAAAAUGCAAUAAAAUCAUCCAAUUUUCGAACUUUUCACCAAAAUUUUUGUGCAAUCGUGUUUAGUGAGGAUUUAUCUUUGUGUGUGAGGAGUUUAGUGCGAAUUGAUGUCAAGGAAACGGAGAAAAAAGUUACGAAAUAUGAGACGAAUAAUAAAUUAUUGAUAUUACUUAAGAAACACAACUGCUGUUGAUGCUGGGAAUCCAUAAAGAGUCAUCUCGGAAAACAUGGGAGGUGAUGAGAGUCAAAAUGAUGGAAGAGAGGAGAGUGAGAAGAAAAGGGGGAUAUGAAAAGAGGGAUUUAAACAUAGCUGGCUUGGAGUGGAUAUACAGUCAUGAGUAAUAUAAUAUACCCACUUUAGAACCCUGUCGCACUAUCAUAUUUGACUUUUUUU
This is a long non-coding RNA of Pectinophora gossypiella (pink bollworm), 877 nucleotides long. RefSeq lists it as uncharacterized. NCBI's taxonomy places the organism in Eukaryota, Metazoa, Arthropoda, Insecta, Lepidoptera, Gelechiidae. The record is from RefSeq and is a predicted model, not a curated record. The transcript has 4 exons.